GCUAUCCCUUAGCUAGAGAUUCCCAUGCAUGUAAUUACUCUGUUUUGCUUUUUUGUAUUGUAUGCAUGCAGCAACUAUAUUGUUUGCAAUAAAGCACUUUACAUUCGUCAUUUUUGAAUUUCAUAUGAAAAUAUUAAGCGUAGUAUUUGGAUUUAAAGAAUGAACGUAGUUGCAAAAGCUUAUUCUGUUGGAGAUGGCCCAAGAUACAUAUCGAGCACCAAGACUCUUAACAACCUCCUUUGUGUGCUAGCACGCCCAUCACUGUGUGUAACCUGUAACCAAAGCAGAACCAAACGCCUGAAAUAAGAGCCUGACAAAUACUUUUUACCAGAAGACGAUGCCAAUAUAGCUGGUCAGGUGGCAUGGAGGAAAAUGAUCUAUAUGCAUGACCCAAACUAGUUUGGGAUUAAGACGUAA
RNAcentral lists this unclassified non-coding RNA (417 nucleotides) under Hevea brasiliensis (rubber tree). The record is from RNAcentral. Lineage: Eukaryota; Viridiplantae; Streptophyta; Magnoliopsida; Malpighiales; Euphorbiaceae.